GAUGAAACGCUGGCGGCGUGCCUAACACAUGCAAGUCGAACGGAGUUAUGCAGAGGAAGUUUUCGGAUGGAAUCGGCGUAACUUAGUGGCGGACGGGUGAGUAAACGCGUGGGAAACCUGCCCUGUACCGGGGGAUAGGCACUUAGAAUAGGUGCUAAUACCGCAUAAGCGCACAGCUUCACAUGAAGCAGUGUGAAAAACUCCGGUGGUACAGGAUGGUCCCGCGUCUGAUUAGCCAGUUGGCAGGGUAACGGCCUACCAAAGCGACGAUCAGUAGCCGGCCUGAGAGGGUGAACGGGCCACAUUGGGGACUGGAGACACGGCCCAAACUCCUACGGGAGGCAGCAGUGGGGAAUAUUGCACAAUGGGGGAAACCCUGAUGCAGCGACGCCGCGUGAGUGAAGAA
RNAcentral lists this ribosomal RNA (406 nucleotides) under uncultured bacterium. RNAcentral's name for it is "bacterial SSU rRNA". It matches the Rfam family "Bacterial small subunit ribosomal RNA", at positions 32 to 412 of the family's 1533-position model. The record is from RNAcentral.